CCGACGAACCUUGCCACUCAAUCCGUGGCACUCCCGGCAUAGCCAACAUCACUGUCUUAGUGUGACAAUCUAGAAUAGAAUGAUAUGAAGACAACCAAACCAUGCCUAAUAUCACAUCAAAGUCAACCAUAAUAAGCAGCGACAUAUCCACUCUAGUUGCUAGUCCCCUAAUAGUAAUUACAAAUGAUUGACAUACAUGGUCUACAACAACAGUAUUGCCCACCGAUGAAGAUACAUGAACAGAUAAAAUAAGAGACUCGCGGGGCAUACCCAAAUAAUGAUCAAAAUACGAUGACACAUAUGAAAAAGUGAAAUCAUGAUAAAGUAAUAUAAAGGCAUCCUUGUUCAAAAUUGAGAUAAUACUUGUAGCAUAACAUUUGAAGUACUAGCAUCCGGUCUAGCAGGGAUUGCAUAGAAACGGGCCUGACCGCCACCUAGCUGACUGACUUCUACCACGAGCUUGCUAGGUGGGUGGUGAACAAACUGGUAUUAAAGACGAAUGCUGACUUCUCUAUUGGGAUGAACCUCUUGUAAGGUGGGGACAGAACCUCUUGAUAUGACCCAAAUCUCCACACUCAAAGCAACCUCUAGCGUCCACUAACAAUGGGGACUGAAGGGAGUCCCGAGCACCAGGAUACCCCCUAGAAGGACCAUGCAUAGAUGAUCCCUGAGCUGAUGGUGCAUGAGACGGACUUUGAGCUGGAAGGGAACUAAGAUAUGAGUGGCCGACUGAGAACUGUGAGAACCAUGGCCAAAUGAUGUACCAUGGUGCACUAGACGAGCCAUCUGAGCAUGCCUGUAGGGACACCCGUGCGGUGGUGAAACUGACCUCUAGAAGGAACACCACCAAAAUGCAUAGAUCCCCGAGGCCUCUUGGCCUCCCUCUAACUCGCUCCUUACGCUGAACCGACUCUAUAUCCCGAGAAAUGUCAACAACUUCUUAAAAAGAAUCACCAUGCACCCUCUCUCUAGUCGAAAGAUCUGCAACUGAUAUGUGAGGCCAUCAAUGAACUUCCUGAUCCUCUCCCUAUCUAUAGGAACCAACCAGAUAGCAUUACGGGUCAACUCAGAGAAUCUCAUCUCAUAUUGUGGCACAGUCAUAUCAUCCUGAGCAACUGCUCAAACUACCUGUGUAGCUCCUCUUUGAGGGACGGCGGUACAUACUUCUCCAGGAAGAGAAUAGAGAAUUGCUUCCAUGUAAGGGGCGCUGCACCAACCGGCCUACGCCUCUCAUAAGCCUUCCACCAACUGAAGGCAGCUCCAGAGAACUGAAAAGUAGUGAAUGAGACCCCACUAGUCUCUAAAAUACAUUAUGUAUGGAGAAUCCUCUAACACUUAUCCAAAAACCCUAGGCAUCCUCGCCAUAUGAACCACUGAGAGUCGGAGGCUGAAGUCUACCAAAUCUCUCCAAUCUACGCUACUCAUCAUCAGGCAUGACAGGAACCACAAAGUCCUGAGCAGCUGCAACUGGUUGGGAUAGUGGUGCCCCCGAUGUCUAAAGUUCCUACACCACAUGAUUAGGUGCGGACGGCGUGAGUCUGAGCACCUCCCCCGGCCCGAGAAGUAGUUGCUGCAGCCAGAAUAAAGACCACUUGAGCAAGGCCGGUGCACAUGGCCAAAUCUAAGCUAGGGCCUCCUAAAGGCCUGGGAUAACAAUUGACGCGGAUUGUGCCUGAGCUGGUCGUACUGGUACAUCUAUAAUCGGAACCCGAUCCUAGACUAGGGCAACAGGUAGAUUUGUAGGUGGCGCCCUGGCUGCUGAGCGAGUUGCACCUCUGCCCCUGCCAUGGUCUCUACCGCGACCUUGGACUUUCGUGGCCCCAAUUGGUAGUACUGGUGGUUGUCCGUCCUAACCGGUAACACGUGUUCAUCUAUGAGAGAAUAGAAUUACAGAAGUUUAGUUACCAGAAUGAAUAGAUUCACACGACAAGAAUUCAAGAAUGUGAAGUUACCUAAGGGUUCUGCAGCUUCUCGAAGAUAGGUACAAACAUCUCCGUACCGAUUCAAAAGACUACUAAACCCGCUCAUGACUCGUGAGAUCUAUGUAACUUAGGCUCUGAUACGAACUUGUCAUGACCAAAAACUCGACCUGUUGUGAUGGCGCAUAUCGUAUAUCUAGGCCAGCCUCAACUAAAUAAUCCAACACCAGAAAAUAUUUUAAAUAAUAAAUAUAGAAGCGACAAUCCAUUAAGGAACAUUUUCGAAAACCAAAAUAAAAUCCAAAUUUCGUUAAAGUUGCCCAAAAUCAGGGUAUCUGAGUUCAUGAGCAUUUAGAGGAGAACAUAGUUUGUUACAAGGUUUAAAGAAAAUAGACUAAAUUACAUCUAGUGAUAAAGAGGGAACUCAAUGCCUGCGGACGUUGUGCAAAUACCUCAAUAGUGUCCUAUGCCUGUAGCCUCGAUCAGCGACUGCCACUUGGACCAAAAGUGCACGGAUCUACACACAAGGUGCAUUGGGUAACGUGAAUACACCAACUCAAUAAGUAACGAGUCCAAACUAUGGAGUGAAAGGUAGUGACAAACUCAACCUCAACAGAUAUAAUAGAAACAACCUACAAAAAUGUAGGCAUGCUUUCAGUUAAAUAGACAACUCAAAGAAAUAAGGUAAAUACAUAUCUAAAUUGUUUAAGAUGUAUAGCUCAAUUGCCUCUACAUGCUAAUGCACCAACUUUAUGAAAUACACAAUGUACUCCCACUAUCAAGUUCUCAACCACUCGAUACUGAAUAUAGCCAUCCAGCCUAGGGUAAUCCAUCUUAAAACAUAUACAACAAUGACUGUGAGUCACUUAGUACCAAGAAAAAAGGCAAUCCAACCCUGAAGAGAAAUCCAUCUCCAGGUAUAUAGAAAAAUACUCAACCAAUCGGUACCGUGUAUGGCUAUCCGACCCAGGGAAAUCCAUCCCGUAACAUACUCAUAACUGACUAUAAGUCACCCGAUAUAAAAAAAAGGAUAAUCCAACCCUAUGGAGAAAUCCUUCUCUAGAUUUCAAUACUUCGUACAAAUCCACGUCAGGGAAAUACAUCCCAUAAUAAUAUCAUCAGGCCUACUGGGGUGUGCAGACUCCAGAUGAGCUCCCACGGCCCAAGCACUGUCAUAAACAAUAUAGCUGCUACGGCAUGCAACCCGAUCCCAAAACUGUCACUCAUAAGUAGGUUCCGCCUCACUCAAUCAUCACUCUCCGAUCUCAUCCAUGGGCUCACAAUGUCAUAGAAACUAGCCCGGAAACAUUGAUAUGCUUUGUCAAUAAUAACAACAGAGACUGAGAUAUAAUAUGAUAUGUAUGAAUACGAUUGAGUACAAAAUAACAGUGAAAUCAAUUAAAUGACAACAAGUAACGACCAAUAGGGGUCCCAACGGUAUCGGCGUGAAGUCCUAACAUGAUAUCUAGUAGUGUUUUGAAGCUCAAUUACUUUAUCCCACAAUGGAAACACAUAUAUCAACAAGAAGGAGUCCUUAAACGGUGCUAUGGAAUGAACUAGGUCACGAUUCUCAUGGUACACGGCCGCACGCCCGUCACUUGGCAUGUGCAUCACCUCAAUCUAACCAAAUAUCACGUAGUUCGGGGUUUCGAACCCUCAAAACUAAGUUUGAAAGCAUUACUUACCUCAAACCGAGUAAAAUACUACUCUGCAAUGACCUUGUCUCUCAACUCGGCCUCCGAACGCCUCGAAUCUAUCCACAAGCAAUACAACAUGAUCAAUAUAGGCUAAAGGAAUCAAUUCCAUAAGAAAAUACACAUUCAUAGCAAAAAUCCGAAAUCGGGUAAAAUCCAUUCCCGGGCCCACGUCUCGAAAUCCAAAAAAAUUAUAAAUCCCGAAAGCUCAUUUACUCACGAGUCUAACCAUACCAAGUUUACCAAAUCCGACCUUAUUUGGUCACUCAAAUCCUCAAAAUCCACUCUCCAAUUUUCAAGCCCUAAAUUCCCAGAUUUCACCUCAGCACUAUACAAUAUAGGUGGGAAAUACAAUGGAGAAACAAUAUUUAUGAUAAAAAAAAUGAGUACAAGAUGCUUGCCUCUAAAAUCCCUACGAAAAUCCUCUCUAAAAUCGCGUAAGCCCGAGUCCAAAAGGUGAAAAUGGUGAAAAAUCUCAAACUCUCUUUUUUAUAUGUUUCUGCCCAGCAAUACCGCACCUGCGGUCGAAAUGUCGCUUCUGCGACGCUGCACAUGUGAAAAAUAUAUCGUAGGUGCGGGUCGAACUUAAGUUCUCAGAGUCCGCAUAUGCGGUUAGCACACGUAUUGCGGGCCCCGGCCGCUUUUAUGGUCCUUUCCUUCCUCGCCCUUUUGUUCGAAUCUGUACUUCACCUCCGGUAUCUGCGCUUAAGCAGAUACGUACAAUUCAUCGCACCUGCGCUCCCAAACCAAACUACUCUUUCCCCAGUUGCGUACACCUCUUCGCUUCUGCGAUCCGCACGUGGGAGCUCCCCACCGCAGUUGCGGAAACACCAGAACCAGGCCACGUCAACAAUCUUUCAAACAUCAAUCUUGUUCCGUUAACCAUCCGAAAUCAACCUGAGGCCCUCGGGACCUCAACCAAACAUACCAACACGUCUAAUAAUAUCAUAUAAACUUAGUGGAACCUUCAAAUCACUCCAAACAAUAUCAAAACACCAACUUACACUUGGAUUCAAGCCUAAGACCCUCUAAAUUUUCGAAUCCACAAAAGAUGCCCAAACCUACCAAACCACGUCCGAAUGACCUCAAAUUUUACAUACAAGUCAGAAAGGACAUCAUGAACCUACCCCAGCUUCUGGAAAUCCAAUUUGACCCUGAUAUCAAAAUUCCCAUUGUUGACCAAAAUCGUCAAAUUUUUAAAUUUCGCCAAUUAAAGCUUAAUUCUACUACGAACCUCCAAAUCACAUUCCGGACGUACUCCUAAGUCCAAAAUACCUAAUAUAGCUAACAGAACCAUCAACAUUAAAAUUUGAGGUCGUUUAACAUAAGUCAACAUCCGAUCAACUCUUCCAACUAAAACCUUAUUAGAAGAGACUAAAUAUCUCAAUUCACUCCAAAACCACUCUGGAACCGAACCAACUAACUUGAUAAGUCAAAAUACAGUUGAAUAACACAAAAGAAGCAAGAAAUAAGGGAACAAGGCUAUAACUCUCGAAAUGACCAGCCCAGUCAUUACGUGCAGGUACAACAACAAAGACUAAAUGAACUUUACGUAUUCUAGGUGCUUUAAGAUCUUUAGGUGCUUUGGAUUUCGUAGAUGCCAUCUGUUAAAAAAAUUAAAGGUGGAAAAAUUAACUUCAUAACAUUAUCAAAAAGUCAAUAACAAUUCGACAUAAUUUGGCUUAAGUUGUAUUUUAAAGCCCUCUAACUUCAGAGAAAUAUAAAAUGAAAUGUCAGCUUUAAGAAUGCUGAAGUUCAGCAAAUAAGAACAAAAUUGCAGCUUUAAGAAUACUGAAAAAAGUUCAGCAAUUAUAGAACAAAAACUACUGCCAAAACAUUUUAUCGUUGUACAAAUACAAAACACAACUUCAACUCCAAUAAUGCUGAGUUCAUCAAAAAUAAAACAAAAACUGCAUACAAAACAUACUUUAUUUCUACAAAACACAAAACAAACUUCAGCUUAUAGAAUUAAGUUAUCCUUAAAGUAUUAUAAACUUCACACUUUAAUAGCAUCAUCUAUUUGAGUCUCAAAACUUUUAAAAAUUUCAAUGUCUCCAUCAAUCACUAAAGAAUAUGUAGAACUUUCAUAAAAAAUACAAAUACAGUUUCAAAAUACCUAAAAAUAAUAAUCCUAAAAGUAAAAUCUGCAAAACUAAUGCAUUAAUAAAAGUAAAAUCUAGAAAACUAUUUUAGCAUAAAUAAAAAAACGGGAUUCAACUAAGAUUACUAUCAACAAAACACCCAGAAAUUAAAUCAUAAAACAAAUCCUAAAUUAAAACCCCAUAUAAAGUUAAUGCAACAUACAAAAGAGACCAUUAAAAUUGUACCUGUAAUUAUACUUAAUUUUGUUAGAGAAGAAUCAAUUGCUAAUCAAGUAGAAUGAAAUAAUGAAAACUGUUUGAUUUCAGAAAAUAAUCAAAAAUUGUGAAGAAGGAUAAAGAUAGAAACAAGAGAUAAUAUAUUGUAUGCUUGGAGAGGAAGUAAUCUUUUAAUAAAGAAGGACAAAAUUGUCUUUUAAAAAUACUUUUAAUAAUAAAAUGGGGUAUGGAUACAAAUGAAAAAACAAAAUAAGUACAAGUUAAAAAAGACAAAUCAAAUAGGACGUUCCAUCCAAUUUUUACACUUGUACUAACUUGGACAUAGGAUUGUAUUGAUGGUAGGUCGAUAAAACCAACUAAUAAAUUGAAUAGAGCUAAUGGAUUAUAUACGGAGAGAUGUAAUAUAAAAUAGGGAAAAAGGAGAAGAGAGAAAAAAAGAAAAAGUAUGUACCUGAAUCCCUUAAUUUAUGAUAUUAGUAAUGGAUUGUAUAAAAUUAUAAGCAAUUUUUAUUUAGAACGGGUAACCUACAAAAUUAAAAUAAUUUUAGUAAAUAAGUUUUAAAUAUUGUAUAGAAACUAAAAAUCCUUUUCAAUAGUUCAUGAAUAAUUGAAUACAUAUAACCGGACUAAAAUUAUGGCGGCUUUGCCUUCGCAGGUUCGAAUCAGGCCGCACACGCUUCAGUAAACUUCAAUUUUCCUUUUUUUUAAAUAAUCUCCGUUUUUCUCUCUCGGAUCGUCUCAGAUUUCAGCUCUUGGAGCGGUUUCGUCCUUCGGUCAGUUAUGACCAACGAAAACGGUUCUGGUGCAAGUGGAAGUUGAGUACUUGUGCUUUUGGUCUCCCCUCGGCUGGGAUUUGGAGGGAUCUGUCGACAGAGCUCCACAAUCCCUGCAGUCUGAUGCCAUCAUAAACCCAAACCCUUUGCAACUUUCUACAUUUUGCUCAAUUUUAAUGGCAUCAACUAGCAAAAGGCCUAGCACAUCUGCGGAUGAUCUAGAAGAGGAGGUAUUUUUCCUGUGGCUGGUACAUUUGUUUUUGUAACUAUCAUUGUUAACAGCACUAUAAUAUUUGGUCGAAGAAAUUAUGAUGUCAGGCACAACAUCAGAGAGCUACAUAGUAUCAAGAUACUGUUAGAUCGACAAUAAUGUUGCAAGGCCUGUUCAGUUUUCUUAAAAGUACUUUACUAUUACAAACUAAGGGUGUGUUUGGUAUAACAACCGAAAAUGUAAGCACUUAGUAAUUUUAUUCAUUUUCUGGUCUUUGGUACACAAAUGAAGUAAAAUAACUUUUUAAGAGUAUUCAUAAAUAUUUAGAUACAAUAAGUAUGAAGUCAUAAACUUACGAACAACAACCUUCGGAGCCUGCAAAUUUUAUAAACUUUCGAACCGCUAAACUUUUAAAACCACAAACUUUUAAACCCGUAAACUCUAUAAUCUUUAAACCUGAAAACUUCCAAACACAUAAACCUUCAAACUCAUAACUUUGGAACCUGUAAAAUUUCGAACCUGUAAAUCGAAAGAUGAAAAAACUAAAACUGAAAAUAUAUAUAAAAAAUAUUUUCUUUUUUUUUUGGGGUUUGGGGUGGGAGGGGGGUUUGGGGAUAGUAGGGUGGGUGGUGACGGAAUAUAGAAAUUGAAAUUUGAAAGAAAAGGCUUUUUGGAGAGAGGUGUGGUCACAUAGGUGUAGGCUGGGUUGGUGAGGGUGGAGAAUAGGGUGGGAAGGUUGAGAAGAAUUUUGGAAAAUAUUUUUCCUUUUCUUGAUAAGGAAAACAUUUUCCUCCAAUUGGAGGAAAUGAGUUAAUAAAGAAAAUAUUUUUCAAAACAUUUAAGCUAAUCAAACAUGGGAAAUUAGAAAAUAUUUUCCGAAAAAUAUUUUCCUUCAUACCAGACAGACCCUAAAUCAUCUAUUCAGCCAAAGGCUUACACUCAAUUGAAAUACAAACGCAAAUAAAAUAAACACCAAAUAAAUGCAACUCAGAACUUGUAGAUUACAUGGUAGAUCGAGAUUUCUGAACUUCAAACUAGGCGUUUCUACGAUUUCAGAAAUUUUCAUGAGAGCUUCUGUUGUGGUCGUAAUGUUGUUGAAGUUUUGUCUUUGUAAAGCUCACUUUUAUAUCCUUCUCAAAUAUAAUAAUUCUGGUUGUCCUUGUGGUUGUAGCGGCAUGCAACCUACAACAACACUAUCAGUAUUUACAAAUGUAUUUGAAGACAAAUUCUGUUUGUCUUUGUGGUUGUAGCGGCAACCCAAAUGUUUUUGAAGACAGAUCACAAACGAACAUGUAAAUAUGAGAAACACUAUAAAAAAAUAUUGUAUUUCAAAUCAUUUCUCCUACAAAUCAUGACAAUUCUUGAUCAUAGCCAUGAUACUCCUCCAAGACUCACGACAGUAAUCUCAUUUCAUACUCAUGCCAUUACAAAUUUGUAAUGGUUGUGUUGUAUGCUCCGAAAACCAUAGAGGUUUGAGCUUCCUUGAGGUUAUCACCUUCUUUGCACGUCUCUCUCUCUCUUUCCUUAUACAAUAAUCAAAGCAUGUUGAACAAAGUUUAAGAAAGCUGGACUGAAGAGAUUAUCAAUCAACAAAACAAAAUCAACAAAAAGUGGAAAAAGAGGUCAAUGAGAGACUGUGAAUCUGUUUUAAAGGCUAUUAUGCUUAUACAUAAUAAUUUUGGAUCCAAUGGUCGGUGCACUAUUUUCAGUCUGUAAAAUAUCCUACAGUUCUUCUAUUUGCUCUACUUUAGCUUCCACAAUAUCUGAAAUUUGACAAAACAUUCCGAAAACAAAAGAGACAAAGAAUUCAAGUCCCACAAAUCAGAACAAAGGAUGUCAACAAGAACAUCAAAUAUGCAAAUAAAAUAUCCUUUAUGUGCAAGGAGAAAACGAAGAACGACAAGUCAUUAAAGACAUCUUUUGUGUUAGCCAAAUAAACAAACACAUACCUUUUUUAAGUAAGCUAAUAUCAAAGAACUUCCACUUAUUCAUGUGACUGAAGCUCGUCGUUAGUAGGCAAAAGCCCUUGACUUCAAACCAAUCAAUCAGGACUGACGCCAUCUUCGCUUCUUCUGAUUAUUGAAAGUGACGUUAAAGCUUUGAAGCUGAUCUUCAAGCAUUCCUUUCUAGUUUCCUCUAAAGUCAACUAAUCAAAUAUAAUUUUUGUUCCCAAAUGCUCCAAAAAAGAAUCUGACAACAGUGCUAGGCAAUAGGGCACUAAAACUCUCCAUAUAACAUACAAAGAGAAUGACACCUAUUUCCAAGAAAGAAAAGUCUCGUUAUUUCUAACAACAACAACAACUACUACCCAGUAUAGUCCCAUAAAGUGGGGUCUGGGGAGGGUAAUAUGNNNNNNNNNNNNNNNNNNNNNNNNNNNNNNNNNNNNNNNNNNNNNNNNNNNNNNNNNNNNNNNNNNNNNNNNNNNNNNNNNNNNNNNNNNNNNNNNNNNNNNNNNNNNNNNNNNNNNNNNNNNNNNNNNNNNNNNNNNNNNNNNNNNNNNNNNNNNNNNNNNNNNNNNNNNNNNNNNNNNNNNNNNNNNNNNNNNNNNNNNNNNNNNNNNNNNNNNNNNNNNNNNNNNNNNNNNNNNNNNNNNNNNNNNNNNNNNNNNNNNNNNNNNNNNNNNNNNNNNNNNNNNNNNNNNNNNNNNNGAGACACACUCCAAAACACAAAUCAUCUAAGGAUAGCCCUGCCAAGCCUCACCCAACCCCGGGUGAGGAGUACAAAAAACUCUAGGAGCCCCUAGCCUACAACCUUGAUACUAGACCUCCAAACUCUCCUGUCAAGGGUCAUGUCCUUGGAAACCUGCAUUCUAGCCAUGUCAUGCCCAAUCAUCUCUCCCCAAUACCUCUUAGGCUUCCCUCUGCCUCGCCGAACGCCGACAAUCGCCAGCCGCUCACAACUCCUCAUCGGGGCAUUAGGACUUCUCCUCCCCACAUGCCUGAACCACCUCAGCCUCGCUUCUCGCAUCUUCUCAUCCACCGGGGUCACCCCCACCUUAUCUCGAAUAACUUCAUUCUUAAUCUUAUCUAACCUGGUGAGCCCGCACAUGUAUCCUGGUGAGCCCGCACAUCCACCUGGGCAUCCUCAUCUUCGCAACCUAAUGAACAUGAGAGUUCUUCACCGGCCAGCACUCCGCCCCAUACAACAUGGCAGAUCUAACCACAGCUUUAUAAAAUUUUCCCUUGAGUUUCUGUGGCACUCUUUUGUCACACAGGACUCCUGAUGCACGCCUCCACUUCGACCACCCCGCUCCUAUACGAUAAAUGACAUCCCCGUCAAUCUCUCCGUCCCCCUGAAUCACCGACCCAAGAUAUCUAAAACUGUCCCUCUUGGCGAUGACCUGAGAUCCAAUCUUCACGUCCCUUCCUACAUCGAUCGGCUCGGCGCUAAACUUGCACUCCAGGUAUUCAGUCUUAGAUCUGCUUAUUUUGAAACCCUUACACUCGAGAGUCUGUCUCCAUACCUCUAAUCUAAAAUUCUAUUGUGAAUAUUAACUUAUCUUUUCAUCAAUCUUCUUAAUAUAUGAUAUGUACUCAAAUAGGUUAGCAGACACAUUUCAUCUAAACAAUACUACUCAUAAAGUGAUAUGUACAAGUAUUCUUUGUUCAAAAGAAUGAAAAGUUCUUUACUAAAAAAAAAGAAUGAAAAGUUCUACCAACUGUUAGCAAUAACUACUGCACCCAAUUUUUCUUGCAGCUUGAUUGAACAUUAAGCAUACCUUGCUAUAGCAAAUUACAAAAGGUAACAAUAUCUUUGCCAUAAAAAGAAGUCCCCGCCCUUCUGUUCUUAUUAUAGAAAUUAAAUAAGUUAAAGCUUGAUGCAAAGCUCAGUACAUGGAAAUUAGUUAUUCCACUCUUGAGAUAUCAAUCAAGAAACAGGAACAUUGUACACUGAUUUUUCAAGUCAGCUAAUAUCAAAUAACCCCCAUGAUAUUAGUAGGACAGUUUCUUAUGUAUUCUAUGGUCGUGCAUCCUUAUUGUGAGAAACAUGUGUGCCUUGUUGUGCCACUUGAAAUAAGAUUACUUGUGGAAUGUUUGUUGGCAUAUUUUUAAGUCACUCUGGAUAGGUUGUGGCAGCUAAAUUCAUGAUUUAUGAUUUCCAAAAUAAAGUUUGACGAUUAAUGUUGACGAGGGGACUCUACUUCUUUGCUACGGGAUCAAGGGUCACUUCGCUGGAAGUAAUAGACAGAGACAACCCUAGUUGUAGCCAAAACUAUAAUUUUUGACCAGAUUUUAGCUCAGUACAAAGUGAUCCUUAUAUGAAUAUAUAUGUUGAGAGCAUAUGACAGCGUACAGAGAAAUUACUCUCCCGAAUAAGUACUCCAAAAACAACUGACAAGAGAUCCCAUCUUGCACGCAAUUUAGUUGGAUAAUGGAAAUUAUAAAAGAAUAAGACAAAAAUGAAAGAGCUACCAACGCAAUUCAAGAAUUGACUUAAAAACUAAGGUGUUAAAUAGCCGUCAAGGCGUCAAAAAACCACCACUGUUUUUUUUUUCUUCCUUUUGAUAGCUAAAGACAAUCACACAGUUAAUAAACCCUCAUCCAUGCAAAUCAUUAAGAUAUAUGAGAAAAAAACACAUAAAAAAGUGAAAAUUUUCAUCAAAUGCGAAGAGUCUAAAAUAAGUGGCAAAGACAGAGUGGUGACAUUCAUCGAGAGAGCAACUUCACCAGAAAAUGAAAUGUUAUUGAAAUAAAUUGAUGAAGCAUCCCUCAAGCAAGGGACGAAAAUAUCAGAAGGCAGAUUCGGGGUUUCAACUAAUUCCUUGUUAUUCUAUUCCAAGGCAAUUAAGAAAGCAAUUUUGUAGAUUCAAUGUCAAUAUCAAAUAACAUAAGUGUUGUAUGAAAACUAUUUUCAGCUUGGUAUCAACAUACAAAGUUAAUAAUCACUCAGAAAUUCAACUAUCCACCGAAAGGAAAAUUCAUACCUAGAUGGAAAAAUCACUUUUAAAUAGACCCGAAAGAGGAAAAAAAGAAAAGAAAAAUACCUAGCAUCCAAAUAGUAUAACCCAGCAAGCACCCAAAAGAAGAAAAAAUGAAGUUGAGAUAGUAAUCAAAAGUGUCAGAAAAAAUCUUACCUUAUGGAGUUAGUGGAGAAGCAACAAAUAUCGUUUUUGGAAUUGAAAGAGGAAGAAGGAAAAUCUCCAAAGCAGUAUUAAUCUUACGGUUCAGUACUACAGAGCAAGCGAACACGGGUUGUAGGAAGAGGAGAGAAGCUUUGUUCGUUCGCUGUCCGGUCAAAUGACUAACUCAAAAUGUGCUUCUCUAUGCUACAUGACUGUUUUGCGGGAGAAUGAUAAAUGGGUCUACUUUAGUAGAUGAAAAGUCUAAUAUGUCCCUAAUUUCAAAUUUAUUGACAGAAAAGCAGACAUGUCGAAACUUAAGCUCUUCUAUAUAAUAUAAUAUAUAAAUUAUUGUUCUUCUUUAUUCCUCUUAUCGCCACAUCCAAGGAGAGGUGCCGUGGUGCAUGUUAUUUGCAGAUGAUAUUGUUUUGAUUGACGAGACGCGAGACGAUGUUGACACGAGGUUAGAGGUGUGGAGACAAACCCCGGAGUCUAAAGGUUUCAAGCUAAGCAGAACCAAGAUAAAAUACUUGGAGUUUAAGUUUAGUGGUGCUACUCAGGGAGUUGAAGUGGAAGUGAGUCUGGAUUCACAAGUCAUCCCUAGGAGGGAAAGUUUUAAGUAUCUUGGGUCUAUUAUACUAGGGGAUGGGGAGAUUGAUGAAGAUGUCACACAUCGUAUUGGGGCAGGAUGGAUGAAGUGGAGGCUUACUUCCAGUGUUUUGUGUGACAAGAAGGUACCACCAAAACUUAAAUGUAUGUUUUACAGAGCGGUGUUUAGACCGGCUAUGUUGUAUGGGACAGAGUGUUAGCUAGUCAAGAGCUUCAAUGUCCAGAAAAUGAAGGUAGCAGAGAUGAGGAUGUUGAGAUGGAUGUGCGCGCACACCAGAUUAGAUAAGGUUAGGAAUGAAGUUAUUAGGGAUAAGGUGGGUGUGAUCCCUAUUGAGGACAAGAUGCGGGAAACAUGACUUACAUGGUUUGGACAUCUGAGGAGGAGAAGCACAGAUGCCCCAGUAAGGAGGUGUGAGAGGUUAACAUUGGAGGGCCUCAAGAGAGGUAGAUGUAGGCCGAAGAAGAGUUGGUGUGAGGUGAUUAGGCAUGACAUGGUGCAGCCACAGCUGACUGGGGACAUGACCCGUAAUAGGAAGGUGUGGAGGUCGAAGAUUAGGAUAGUAAGUUAGAUAGUCUAAAUUAUUAAUAUCGGUAGUGUUAGUACGUACUCUCGCAUUAACUUUUUGUAUUUCGAUCAUCUUACUAUCUUGUUAUGUAUGCUGCUUUUACAUGGAUUUUUUUUGGUGUUGUCCCGUCUUGUUUCUUGUUAUUAUUGGGGAAUCUAUGCUUGCCUAAGCCGAUGGUCUAUUGGAAACAACCCCUCUACCUCCACAAAGGGGGUAAGAUCUGCGUACAUUACUCUCCCAGACCCUACUAUGUGCGAUUAUAUUAGGUGUGUUGUUGUUGUUGUUUCCUCUCACCUAAAAGCUCAAUUCAUUUCAAUUUCACGCCCGUUUUCUUUGUAAUUUGAAGCUAUCAAGGAGAAGCGGAUGAAAUCAAUAGUUUGGUAUUCGUAUUAUGUAGCUAAAUAUCACCUUCUAAAUCACGUGAAAAUUGUUUUAUGCUUUAACAGUUAACAAGAAACAUUAUGAAACAUUACUGUCUAAGAACUCGCAAAUUGAACUAAGAGGGAAGAAAUUAAGUGAGUAGUUUUUUCUUUCUUCCUAUUUAGACUUUCGGAUUUGCUCUUUGUUCAAAGCACAUGAAUUAUAACUGGCCUGGUGGAUGGUGGUUCUCAUAUUUCUUAUUGUUGUUUCAUAUGCAGUUUGAACAUUUUGAUGAUUUCACCCUUGCCUCUUCUUGGGAAAGGUAUUUUUUUUUCAACCAUAGCAACUCACUGCAUUUUCUUAUGGUAUCCUCAACUUAUGUGCAGCGUUUUAGUAUCAUAGGAGCUGAAGAAACUAAAGUUACUAAUAUUCUAUAUAACAGGUUCAUUUCUGAGAUAGAGGCAGUAUGCAGGAAAUGGUUGGCUGAUGGCACGAAGAAUUUGUUGGUAUGAAUGCUUUGUUUAUUCACCUCAUCUUUACCGGAAAAGAACUUGUGAUUUCAUUAUGCCCAAUGGAAAUGAUUAUUUUACACAUUGACUAAAAAUUUAUCAUUUUGACUGUGUGUUUGACUGACAACUGACUUUCAUUUCGUACAUUUGACGGAAAGAGGUCAAGAUUUGGUUGAAAAUACUAUAUCUUAGUUUGCUAUUACCAGAAGUAGAAUUUCUUGCUCUGUCCAUCUUUCAAGAGAGUGUGAUGGCUGUAUUUGAAUGUUGAUACCAUAUUUAGUAGCGUGGUCCUCAAAUAAACCUGAUAAGGGACUGGUUUUGAUUUUCCAUUUGAAAGAUUGAGUUAUAAGUCGAAUAAUAGGUGUGGCGGAUACUUGAGUGAAAGUUUAGGUCGUUCCCCAAAGAUUUGUUGCUAGCCUGUCUUUUGGAAAGGCUAUUUAAAAAGAAUUUGAGCUUCAACCUCAACCUAUACCUAUAAAGAAGUGCGAGGUGUGAUCGUUCAUCAUUGUUGAAGUGCGAAACCUAAGUGAAUGUCAACAAGGUCGAAGCACUUGCCAUUACUUUUGAAGGAGUAAUGGCUCCCUAAAAUCAUCUGCUUUUAGUUUUGUCCUAUACUUAUAAGAUGCUGGAAUAGUUUAUUAGAUGUUUCAGGUUUAUCAUCUAUAAUGUUUGUAAUAUUUAUGAUUUUUUCGGGGAACUAAUAUAUAGUCACUAGCUAUUCCACUUAUCAAAAAUAAAUUAUUAGCCAACAUGGUAUGUGGUUUUUUGUGGGAUAAUUUGCUGUUUAUAGAUUCUGUGACAAUGGUUUUAUUUCUGUCAACGAGUGGUUCCUUUAGAGGGAAAAAAACAAGUAGUUCCUGGACGGUUUAUUUCUUUGAGUGGAAUCUUUUGGUCAAAGUAUGAAAGAAAAGAUUCUCUUAUUGCUUGUCUUGAUUCCUUGCUUCUAUUUUUUGGCAAAUUAUGUGAUGGUAGAAAAAGGACGCUAUCUGCUUGAAUAUCUCUGAGGGCCUAUAUAAGGUCAAAGCUGACCUGAAGUAUGAGAUGAAAAGCUAUUGCAUGGAGUACUAUUUUGGAACACUUAAUGAUGGUACGUAAAUAAGUCUACUUUGAAAUUAAAACUGAAAAUAUGUUUUUUCUUUUUUCUCGGGACUGCCUAACAAAUAUCCAAAAAUUUAGUUGUGCCAGGAAAAGGAAAUGACUGGAGUUGUGUACUGCAUGAUCUGCAGCUGUUUUUUGGGGUGAAUGAGUUCCUGGUAUCUCUAUCACUUAUAAAAAAAAAGUUUAUGGUAUCUCUAUCUCUUCCCCUAACACGUGGCACAAAGAGGAUGAUACAUCUGUUGUAUGUUUAGCACCUUGAUAUGGGUUAUUAUGUUUAACUUUCUUUUCCAAAAUUGAAUGCAUGUCUCUAGGUGAUUGCUCCUCAAAGUGCCAGCGGUGUGGUUCUUGAUGGACCAGAGGCCAGCAAACUUCUAAGUGCAGUUGCUAUUGCCUUGUCCAACUGUUCCAGGUCUGGUUGUCAGUUGCAAACUUCUUUUUAUAUCAACCUGUAGGAUCUAUAUCUUUAGUAAUUGAACCGAAGUACUAAUCUUCUUCAAAAUCACUCAAAGGAUUAAUCUGUCUUUUUCAAAAUCAAAGUGAGAUUUUGAUGGUGAUCUAACAUGCUUUGUCAAGGGUUCUCCUCAUAGAAGCUAGCUAACCUUGCUCAAUUUUAAGCAAAAUCUUGUUAGAAAUAAAUGGGCCCUAAAUGAAAGAGAAGUUGACAGAUUAUCCAUUAUUGAAAGAACAACAUAUAAUUUGUGACAUAUUGUAAUGUGAAGUAUAUAAAGUUGGUUAUUCAGAAUCAUAGAAGCUGAGAAAUUGAGAAAGAUGUGAAGAUAAUGGCUACGUAUUUUAUUUUCAUACAUCCAGGGCUUUGGUCUAUUGGUAGAGCGCAAUGCGUGAUAUGUGGAUUAGGUGCACGUCAUGGUUUGAAAUGUGCCACAGACAAAGUCCUGUGAUGAAUGGUAGAUGGGUGAGCCCAUUAUCCAUUUAGUUUCGAAGCGUGCGCCAGCUUGCCCUUGGGAUUUCUCGGUUGUUCCAAAAAAAAAAAGAAGAAAUCUUUCAUCCUUCGGCAAGCAGCAUGGCACAUUAGCACUAAUGUUACAAGAGUCCUUGAAUUUCUUUAGAUUUCCUUCUGCAAAAGGCCAAUAUAACUGAAUGGAGAACAGUCGGCAUAUUUUGGAAGCUCUGUAAAUUGCAAGGAUAGGUUUUUUGUUUCUUUUAUUUUGCUCUUCUCUGUACAUAUGAUUUUGUCACUGUUUUUAUGCAUUGAUAUAUAAAAGUUGUUACAUUCUAAAAAAAAAAAAGAAGAAAAGUCAGCACAAUGUCUAUAUCACUUGAAACUUUUACUAAGAAAUAUGUAACAUUCACCCGUUGGCAAGAGAAGCAUCCUGCCACUUCUAUAAAAAAAAUGAACUUUUGCAAAUAUGUAGGAGUUAGCUACACCCCUGUAAUUGAAAUCUGUAGAUAUAACAAGCACGACCACUGAAAGUAACCACCUUGUUGAAGCUAAGGUAUAAAUCUCUACCAUAUUAAGCUGACGUCUGUGGAAUUUCUGAUGUGCUGCUCUAAAGUAGAGAUCAUACUUGUAUUUGGCUUCUUCAGUAGAUGGUGAUGCUCAUCUCUAUGUAUAUUACAUUUC
Molecule: long non-coding RNA, 16698 nt
Filed under: Nicotiana benthamiana
Lineage: Eukaryota; Viridiplantae; Streptophyta; Magnoliopsida; Solanales; Solanaceae
Description: long non-coding RNA (NBEN_LNC023976)
Source: RNAcentral